UUGAAAGGGAAACGAUUGAAGUCAGUCGUACCGACGAGAAAUCAACUUAUCGUGUGCGAACUUGUGGGCGUGCGUGAGUUUCGGCCUCGCUGUUUGCAUGUUUGUGCGCUUUGGGUGUACUUUUUCGUAUGGUAGGCCAACGUCAGUUUCGAUUAUCAUAAAAUGACCGGCGGAAUGUAGCUUCGAUUUCGGUUGAAGUGUUAUAGCCUCUGGUAGAUGUGGUGAUUGAGACUGAGGAUUGCAACGAAUACCCUUUGGGCUAUCCGUCUGGCCUCUGAAAGUUGCUCAGGUGCCGAAAGCGUGCUUACGGUCAUCUAAGAUAACGUUCAACAGGUUAGAACGUGAUUACAUUCGUUAAGGAUGUUGACGUA
Molecule: ribosomal RNA, 371 nt
Filed under: uncultured Glomeromycotina
Lineage: Eukaryota; Fungi; Glomeromycota
Description: eukaryotic LSU rRNA
Source: RNAcentral